AAUUAACUAGUAUACAAGUACCCCUGACUUCCAAUCAGGUAGUCUGAUUUUUCAGGUUAAUUA
Molecule: transfer RNA, 63 nt
Filed under: Parajapyx emeryanus
Lineage: Eukaryota; Metazoa; Arthropoda; Diplura; Dicellurata; Parajapygidae
Description: tRNA-Gly
Source: RNAcentral